CCUACGGGAGGCUGCAGUAAGGAAUAUUGGUCAAUGGACGCAAGUCUGAACCAGCCAUGCCGCGUGGAGGAUGAAGGUCCUCUGGAUUGUAAACUUCUUUUAUUUGGGAAGAAACUCCCGAUUUCCAUCGGGAUUGACGGUACCAGAUGAAUAAGCACCGGCUAACUCCGUGCCAGCAGCCGCGGUAAUACGGAGGGUGCAAGCUUUACUGGGAUUAAAGGGUGCUUAAGGGGGCAGAGAAGGGCAGGUAGAAAUCUCCGGGCUUAACCCGGAAACUGCCAUUGAUACUAUUUGUCUUGAAUACUCUGGAGGUGAGCGGAAUAUGUCAUGUAGCGGUGAAAUGCUUAGAUAUGACAUAGAACACCCAUUGCGAAGGCAGCUCACUACGGAAAUAUUGACGCUGAGGCACGAAAGCGUGGGGAUCAAACAGGAUUAGAUACCCGAGUAGUC
This 450-nucleotide ribosomal RNA is filed under the name uncultured bacterium. RNAcentral's name for it is "partial 16S ribosomal RNA". It matches the Rfam family "Bacterial small subunit ribosomal RNA", at positions 338 to 795 of the family's 1533-position model. The record is from RNAcentral.